RNAcentral lists this long non-coding RNA (245 nucleotides) under Nicotiana benthamiana. RNAcentral's name for it is "long non-coding RNA (NBEN_LNC029393)". Lineage: Eukaryota; Viridiplantae; Streptophyta; Magnoliopsida; Solanales; Solanaceae. The record is from RNAcentral.
GGUGCAGGACUUUGAGCUGGGAGGGCACAGAGUGAAUACUGGCCCUGCUCGUGACCCUGACGGCCACGACCGGAAGAAGCUCCGCUAUACUCUAGGCGGCAUGACAGAGGAGGUCCAAAAGGACGACCUCUACCCCGAUGAAACUGGCCUCUAGAUGGAACGCCACCAUAACUGCCCGAACCUCGAGGCUGCUUAGCCUCCCUCUCCUCUCGCUCCAAACGGCGAGCCGUCUCAUUAUCGCGUGC